GUCAGCGAACGAGCGCGCGCAAUAGCGCGGGGCAGGGGUCGCCGCGGCCGGAAGCCCACGCGGGGGGUUGCAGGGACGGGUCGUAAGGGGCGGGGCGGGCCUCGAGGAGGCGGCGGUGGGGUCCCCGGACCUCCGCGCGUGGCACAGCCCGCAUCCUGAACUGACUCCCACUCGAGGACCACCUCUCCUCUCCCUUCUGAGGGCGGAACGGAAAGGCCAAGCGCCUCCUCGCCUCGGGAGCUGCAGGACGCCCUAAUUCAGCCGAGUCGCCGCGUGCCCGGGUGCCCGCGAACAGCAGGAGAGAGGACGGGCGCUGGCCCCACAGGGGUCGCUUUACCCCUUGAAGAGCUCCUCGCUGCCUGCCCUGGGGGUGGUGGGCGUCCAGGUUCACAGGGUACUUGAGCUUGCUGGGGUGGGGGUGUGUAUGAAGUGCGUCCAGGGUUUUGUGGAGCGCGUCUAGCAGUUGCUCUACUUCUUACUGACAGUGAAACAAGGGCGCCCACGACAGGUGUUCCCUUUUCGCUGUCGCUGCCAGGAAGCUUCCAGCCAGGUUCAGCGCCCAGUGGUGUCAGCCGGCCCAUCUCGAGCCUUGGUUCCGCUGUCAUCUUCUGGUGCUUAUUCUGGUGUUUAUCCAACUGUCCGUUUUGAAAUUAUGUUCCCAAGCCAUUUAACACCUCUGGAGAACCAAAGCACUGGCUGUCAGCGGAGCGGGAUGCACGCGCAGCGGAGGGGACUGGGCACGCCAACCCCACGAGGGUUCCUGCGGAGAUGACACGGACCUUGAGGUCUGAAGCCAAAGGACGAUUUGUGUGAAGGGAUUUUAUUGUUAGCUUUGGAGCCAGCAACAAGAACACAGCCCUGGAGUUCCCGGGGCAAAAAGGAUACCAAGAUAAUAAUUCAGGUAUUACGACUAACAUGACUGCAUUUGCACCCACAGGCUGUGGGACUUGGGGACGUUUGAGCUACAUCCAAAAUACAUGAGAAAAUCACACAAGUGAAAUUGGAUGAGAGUGCGAGGGGUGAAGUGAUACAUUAUGACCUAGAAUUAGGGGAGGCUUCCUGGAGCAGGUGACAUUUGCAUUGGGUCUUGAUUGGGAAGAGUGGAACCCAGCAGUCUAGAUAGGGUCCAGAGGUAGGAGGUACCUCGCAUCCCAGGCUGCCUCAGUUCAUGGUGAGAGUGCAGAUAUUUAGUGAAACAGGAGGAAAGGACACUUGGAAAUACACCAUGAAAGAAGGAUUGAAGUUCUUGCAGACACAUGGGAGUGUCCGAGGCUUUAUUCUCCUUCCACCUUGAGCCAGUGGAAUUGCAGUGUCUUUUUUCUACACCUAUGCAGUUUUUUCUACACCUGUGCAGUUUUUUCUAGGGGAAGAUCAGACCCUCCUCUUUGGGAGGAACUCUUGCUUCUUUAGAUAAUAGCAGUGACAUUUUCUAGCCUGAAAAUUAUGAUGUAUGCCCUGAUAGGUUUAAUUAUUUGAGAAGUUCUCACAAAGGUAUACAGAUGUGCUAAGAGUAUCAAGUCAAGUGAGUGACUCUCAAGCUUCAUUAUGGGGAAGAAUAUUUGGUUUGCUUGUUAAAAUGCAGAUUCCGGCCGGGAGCAGUGGCUCAUGCCUGUAAUCCCAGCACUUUCAAAGGCCAAGGCGGGCGGAUCACGAGGUCAGGAGAUCGACAUGGUGAAACCCCGUUUCUACUAAACCCCAACAUGGUGAAACCCCGUUUCUACUAAAAUACAAAAAAUUAGCCAGGCAUGAUGGUGUGCGCCUGUAGUCCCAGCCGCUCAGGAGGCUGACACAGGGGAAUCGCUUGAACCUGGGCGGUGGAGGUUGCAGUGAGCUGAGAUCGCGCCACUGCACUCCAGCCUGGCGACAGAGCAAAACUCUAUCUCAAAAAAAAAAAAAAAAAAAAAAAUGCAGAUUCCUGGGUCCCACCCCCAAAAGAUGCUAAUUUUGUAGAUCUGAGUAGGACCUAAGGGUCUGCAUUUUUAAUACUGAAGCAUGUGGUCUUCAAGCUUAUGGCAUGUAGUAGGGACAGGACGAAAAAUGAAACUGGAGAAUGAAAUGAAACCGAGUCAGUAUGAGAAGGGCCUCAUGCACAGCACCUGGAGUUUGGACUUCAUCCCGUGGUCUGCAAUAAGUGAGUAGAGGUUUCUAAGUCAUGUGGUUAUUUUUAAAAGCUAAUUCUAGUAUUGAGAAGGAAUGGGAGUGGAAACAGAUAGUAGGUUGAAUGAAGGAAUGAAUGCAGUAAAAUGCUCAGUGAAAGAUGUGGCACUUUUUGUUUUCAGUAUUCUCUUGCUUUGAACCAAAACCACUUAGAAUGUAUUUCUUUUAAAACCUGUAUGUCAGUGUAAAUAUUCACAAACAACUGUAUGUUCUGACCUAUGUCUUCUGGACUUCCAGAGUUAGCAUUAACAUUAUUAGCUGCCAGGCCAACAAAACCUUGAGUAAUCCUGCAAUACUCGGAAUCAAGAAAAGUGGCUACAUCAUGGUCAACUUUGAAGAACAUCAGCCUCAAGAUCUUUUAUACUAACUCAUAUGUUUAUUAAAAUCUAUUACUAAAACAGAUUUUUAAAAAUUAUCUUGAGGUUAUAAUGAGACAUAGUGCUUCUACCUAAUUCCUAUUGGGAAAAAAAAAUGUUGAGAUUUGGGGACCAAGAAAAAAAAUUCUGAUCGCUUUUUUUUUUUUUUUUUUUGAGAUGGUGUCUCUCUCUGUCACGCAGGCUUGGAGUGCAGUGGCAUGAUUUUGUCUCACUGCAACCUCUGCCUCCCGGGUUCAAGUGAUUCUCCUGCCCCAGCCUCCUGAGUAGCUGGAAUUUCAGGCACCCACCACCAAGCCCAGCUAAUUUUUGUAUUUUUAGUAGAGACAAGGUUUCACCAUGUUGGCCAGGCUGAUCUCAAACUCCUGACCUCAAAUGAUCCACCUGCCUUGGCCUCCCAGAGUGCUGGGACUACAGGCAUGAGCCACCGCUCCCAGCUGAUUGCUUUCAAUUAGUAUUGAUAAUAGUUUGAAACUGGGACAAGUAGCCUAGUCUUGGCAGUCUUUCUGCUCCUUAGCUCAGCUAGGUCCAAGUUCUUGUCUCACAACCAGGAAAAACUAGGCACACAGACACCGGAAAGUGAGUGGAGUGGAAUUGAUUAAGCAAAAGGAAAGCUCUCAGCAAAGAGCGAAUGCUGGGAGCAGUUCCCCUACCCGAAAGUGGGAAAAUCCCCUCUCAUGUGGCUGAGCCUGGGGCUUUUAUGCACUCAGAAUGGGGAGUGCAUGCUGAUUGGUUUGUGAGUUUGCAAAAAAAGGUUAAAGCAAAGACACCACUCAAAGGCAGGCACGACAGUGUAGAAAACCAAUUAGAAAGGGUAAGUAUACGUAAAAUAGGUGAAGGGUGGAGAUCAGAGGAAAGCGUGCCAAACAGGAAGACAAGUUCUCAAUCUAGUCUGAAAAUUUAACUUGUAGUUUGGCUUUCAGGCUUUAAACUGUCUUCAGCUUGGAGGUGGGGUUUCACCGGGGACCUGCCUCUAUCUGCCUAGGCGUUUGACUGUCUUCUGUUGCUGUCACUAGUAGCACAAUAUAAAGAUUUUGUGCUACUGUUUCACAGUGAUUUGCAAUUAGUGCUUUUUUUUGUCAUGUAGUUUUGUUUUUAGUGCAUUAUUCUUUAGGAGAAUUUAUCCGUGAAGCUUGGGUAUCACAGCUUACUGCUAUGUCCUUGAUUUAUACUUCUCAUUGACUGUGAGAAGUGAUGGCUAGUUUUCCUGCUGUGAGCAGGUUUGGUGAUAUACAAUACCAUUCGCAAGAUGUUAUAUAUGUGCAUUGUCACAUUUCUUUCAAAAAUGAUAUUUCCAAUUUUUCCAAACAUUCAUAUCUUCUUUCUGGCCAUCAUACUGAUUUUAUUACCAAAAUAAAAUCUUAUCAUUAACUCUGAAAACAAUUUAAAUAACUAUAAGCCAUAGUUAGGGAAUGAUUUUUAAUAAAACCUAGAUACAAACACCAUCAUUUUCUCCUCUAAUAGCAGGUUGUCUUGCCUGACUCUCAAAAAUGAGGGAGCUAAAUCAUACAGAUAGGUGACAUGUUCAUGGCUAUAAGGAACACCAUAGCAUAAUAUUUGGACAGUAAGACAUAAUACAUAUCCUGAAAAAACUUUGAUGUGUAGUCAGUGUAACCCUUGUCCCCUGUCCUCCUCCCUAACCUCAGGAAAGAUCCACACUUCCACAUUUAUUCCCUACCCACCUUUGGUUUUGAAUCCUCAUUUCCACAGAUGCAGCAUGACAUCUGUAACCCCUACAAAUCUGCAUACCCCUCCAGCCUUCCCAGAACUUCAUUCCCUCCAUCUUCAUUGCCUUAGCUCCUUUUGUCUUUAAGUAUUCACUCACUAAGUCAAGAAAAUAUUGGAGGGGGGGUGGGGCAAAACAACUAGGCUUUAAAGGUGGGGGAUUACCCAGAUCAACACAAGUCUCCCACUUGAACAACUGCUCUUUGACACCUGUACCCUGAGAUGUGACUAUGGAUUAAAGUCAUAGCACCCCUGCCUCCAGGUUGGAAAGUUUUAUGGAAAAUGAACAUAUUUUAUUAGAAGACAAUGAGAACUUCCUGGAGCAGAUGAGUAAACACACCCUCAUGUUUACCUGAUAACUGAAAUCAAAGAUGAGGUGUAGCCUCUGGUUUGAAAUGUUACAAAGUGUAAAAUUAAGAUAAAGGCAGAAAAAUGAAAAGGAAAUAGCCAGUUUUGAAGCAGAAGAACUCAGUGGGACAGGGGCCAAAUCAGUGAAAGAGGUGCUGCUCAGAUACCAGAUUUAAUGACAACCAAAGUGGCCCAAAUAUCCAAAAAAAAUUGCGCUUCUGAAAACCAGUAGGAGGUUGCAGUGGACUAAAGAUGGCCACAAAAUUUUUAUCGUUUUCCCCGUCAAGAAUGGGAGUUUAUUUUUCAUCAUCUUGAAUCUGGCCCUGUGACUGCAUCACCAAGAAGACACUGCAGAAGUGAUGCUCUGCCAGUUCUGGUUCUAGUCUUUUAGAAGACUGUUAGCCUCUACUUCCUCUUUCUUCAAAUGAGCUCUCUUGGGACACCCUCUCUCAGAACCAAACCACCAUGCAUGGGGCAUGUGUGGCCUCUUCACUCAGGAGCCCCAGCAGAGCAACCAGCCAGUACUGAGCAUCAAGUGCCAGUCAUGUGAAUGAGCCAUCUAGGAUGUUCUUUGGUCAAGUCUAUACAAAAGAACUUACCAGCUGAGCCCAGCCAACACAUAGAAUUAUGAAAUAGUAAAAUGAUUAUUGUUUAAAGUCAUGAAAUUUUGCAGUUUUUUUAAUAUAGCAAUAGAUAACCAAAAUCAAGAUUAAAUAAAAUAUCAGAUGAUUAAAAUGGAGCAUGAAAAUGGAGUUAACUUUGUAAGAAGAACCACAACCCCAAUGAUCAUGACUUAGAGGAAAGUUCAGUAAAUAAAACAGAAAAUAUUGAAAAAGGCUGUUUCAUUUUAAACCUGUGUCAAGCUCCUAGACCUAAAAUGACACUUGAAAUUGUCCUCCAUUAGAAUUCAUUGUGCUACAGAUUUUCUCUCAUUCUGUUACAUAUAUUUAUUUAAUGAAGUAGAGAAAUUCUUCUCUCAUAAGCUAAUGCUGCAAGGUGUUUUUAUAUGUAUUAUAUGUAUAUGUACAUACAUAUAUUUUUUAUAUUAACAUAACAGUUUAUAAUAAAUGUUUAAGUGUUUUAUAAUAAUAUUUAUACAUUUAUCACCAUAUAUACACACACACAAAUAUAUGUAUACACACACAUAUACAUACAUAUAAAUGUCUGGGGAUAGAAAGUGAGACCCUCAGAAUCUUGGAUGUAGCCUGACUGCUCUGCACCCAACUGGGGAGGAGUGAGGGGAGAAGAAAGUAGAGUUCCAGCCAGAAAGGUGACAGAAGACUGCCCAAAGCUUCAUGUAACCAAUCCCUCAAGCCUGCGGAAAAGUUACUAAAUGUUUGGUGCCAGUGCCUUCCUGCAGAGUCAGUGAUGCUUAUGCUUGGUACUGAAUCAGAGACAGCACCUUCAACCAUAGUCACACGUCUGCAAAAGACAGAAAAAUCCAGUCUGAUAGCUUUGUUCUAUGUAUUUGUUCGUGUUUACACCAAGGAUUGUAGCCUGCAGCUCCUGAUCUUUUAUUCUGAAACGUUCUGGAAGUAGUAAAGGCUACUCUAUAACAUACUUGUUUUAAUAAAUGUAUUCUCCAUUUUUUAAUGCAAAACUGGCACAACCAAGAGAGGUGCCAUAUUUUGACUCAUAUUUUUACUUCACCUCUUCAUAUAACACUUCAUUCAGUGUCCUCAAUCAGGUUCUCAUUCAGGUUCUCAAUAGAGGCCAAUUUUGCACCCCCCACCCCCUGCAGCA
Molecule: long non-coding RNA, 6347 nt
Filed under: Homo sapiens (human)
Lineage: Eukaryota; Metazoa; Chordata; Mammalia; Primates; Hominidae
Description: non-protein coding lnc-CCT8-6:4
Source: RNAcentral